This 441-nucleotide ribosomal RNA is filed under the name uncultured bacterium. RNAcentral describes it as "partial 16S ribosomal RNA". It matches the Rfam family "Bacterial small subunit ribosomal RNA", at positions 338 to 795 of the family's 1533-position model. The record is from RNAcentral.
CCUACGGGUGGCAGCAGUGGGGAAUAUUGGGCAAUGGAGGAAACUCUGACCCAGCAACGCCGCGUGAAGGAUGAAGGUUUUCGGAUUGUAAACUUCUGUCGCGAGGGACGAAGAAUGACGGUACCUCGUAAGAAAGCCCCGGCAAACUACGUGCCAGCAGCCGCGGUAAUACGUAGGGGGCGAGCGUUGUCCGGAAUGACUGGGUGUAAAGGGCGUGUAGGCGGGACUGCAAGUCAGAUGUGAAAACCACGGGCUCAACCUGUGGCCUGCAUUUGAAACUGUAGUUCUUGAGUACUGGAGAGGCAGACGGAAUUCCUAGUGUAGCGGUGAAAUGCGUAGAUAUUAGGAGGAACACCAGUGGCGAAGGCGGUCUGCUGGACAGCAACUGACGCUGAGGCGCGAAAGCGUGGGGAGCAAACAGGAUUAGAUACCCCAGUAGUC